RNAcentral lists this ribosomal RNA (484 nucleotides) under uncultured bacterium. RNAcentral's name for it is "partial 16S ribosomal RNA". It matches the Rfam family "Bacterial small subunit ribosomal RNA", at positions 30 to 507 of the family's 1533-position model. The record is from RNAcentral.
AUUGAACGCUGGCGGCAGGCCUAACACAUGCCAGUCGAGCGGAUGAAGGGAGCUUGCUCCUGGAUUCAGCGGCGGACGGGUGAGUAAUGCCUAGGAAUCUGCCUGGUAGUGGGGGAUAACGUCCGGAAACGGGCGCUAAUACCGCAUACGUCCUGAGGGAGAAAGUGGGGGAUCUUCGGACCUCACGCUAUCAGAUGAGCCUAGGUCGGAUUAGCUAGUUGGUGGGGUAAAGGCCUACCAAGGCGACGAUCCGUAACUGGUCUGAGAGGAUGAUCGGUCACACUGGAACUGAGACACGGUCCAGACUCCUACGGGAGGCAGCAGUGGGGAAUAUUGGACAAUGGGUGAAAGCCUGAUCCAGCCAUGCCGCGUGUGUGAAGAAGGUCUUCGGAUUGUAAAGCACUUUAAGUUGGGAGGAAGGGCAGUAAGUUAAUACCUUGCUGUUUUGACGUUACCAACAGAAUAAGCACCGGCUAACUUCGUG